GUCGAACGGCAGCGCGGGGCAACCUGGCGGCGAGUGGCGAACGGGUGAGUAAUAUAUCGGAACGUACCCUGGAGUGGGGGAUAACGUAGCGAAAGUUACGCUAAUACCGCAUACGAUCUAAGGAUGAAAGUGGGGGAUCGCAAGACCUCAUGCUCCUGGAGCGGCCGAUAUCUGAUUAGCUAGUUGGUAGGGUAAAAGCCUACCAAGGCAUCGAUCAGUAGCUGGUCUGAGAGGACGACCAGCCACACUGGAACUGAGACACGGUCCAGACUCCUACGGGAGGCAGCAGUGGGGAAUUUUGGACAAUGGGCGCAAGCCUGAUCCAGCAAUGCCGCGUGAGUGAAGAAGGCCUUCGGGUUGUAAAGCUCUUUUGUCAGGGAAGAAACGGUGGAGGCUAAUAUCCUUUGCUAAUGACGGUACUUGAAGAAUAAGCAUCGGCUAACUACGUGCCAGCAGCCGCGGUAAUACGUAGGGUGCAAGCGUUAAUCGGAAUUACUGGGCGUAAAGCGUGCGCAGGCGGUUUUGUAAGUUUGUCGUGAAAUCNCCGGGCUCAACCUGGGAAUGGCGAUGAAGACUGCAAGGCUAGAAUCUGGCAGAGGGGGGUAGAAUUCCACGUGUAGCAGUGAAAUGCGUAGAGAUGUGGAGGAACACCGAUGGCGAAGGCAGCCCCCUGGGUCAAGAUUGACGCUCAUGCACGAAAGCGUGGGGAGCAAACAGGAUUAGAUA
Molecule: ribosomal RNA, 726 nt
Filed under: bacterium EJ10-74
Lineage: Bacteria
Description: bacterial SSU rRNA
Rfam family: Bacterial small subunit ribosomal RNA
Source: RNAcentral